Molecule: ribosomal RNA, 2409 nt
Filed under: Triticum aestivum (bread wheat)
Lineage: Eukaryota; Viridiplantae; Streptophyta; Magnoliopsida; Poales; Poaceae
Description: partial small subunit ribosomal RNA
Source: RNAcentral
CGUGCGCACGCGUGCAGGGAGAGGGAGGGUUCAGUGGAAGCAGAGGGACGGCGUUCGCACGGAGAGAGCGUUGCGGGGCUCGUCUAGGGAAAAGAGAAAGUGCGUCGCUUGCGGCUUGAGUCGGUGUGGGUGGGGUGGGGUGGGUCGAGUUUAGGCUGCGGUGGUUGCUGGCGCGGUGGUUUUCGAAGGCGGAAAAGGAGGUGACUAGGGAGGAGUAGAAGAGAGAGUGCCUCAGGUCCGGUGGGGAGAGGAGGGAGCGACAGAGGAAAGAAAGAAGGAGACGCGAGCGCGCACACGGGGCGACAAAUACGCGGCCAUCUAGGGGCUGCGCUGCGCAGGGCGCCUCCUCCUCGAUCCGUCCGGCUCUACUUGAGCUGCCGCAUGAGCGCCGGCAGGUUCGACGGCCCGCCGCGGCCGCUGUCCUCCGGCGGGUGCGCGGAGGCCCCGAAGCGGAGGUUCUAGCUCGGGUUCUUCGAGCCGCGACCGGAGGAGCGGCCGACGACGGAGCGCGAGGAGUGGAUGCAGAGGGAGCGGUUCGAGAAGCGGUAGAUGAGGGGGCAGAAGCGAUCGUGUCGGUUGUGCAGGCCGGACGAGGUCUUGCGGGGCGGCCGCAGCAGCAGCAGCAGGCAGGGCCUCUGCUGCCUACGGUAGGGCCGGCUUCUGUGGUGUAAGUAGCCGGCGCUCUUGCCGUUGCGGCACCUAGGGCAGCUAAAGGGUCUCCUCCCGGGCCGCAGCCGGCCGAGAGUUCUUGGGCCGCACGGCCUCCACGAGAGCUCUUUCCUCCUGCUUCGGCUCUUCCGCCGCCUCCGCCGCUGCUGGAGGCACGGUUUCGGUAGGCGCCUCCCGCCGCGGCCGCCCCUCCCACGCCGUAAUCGUUUCUACUCGACGCUGCUCUUGCCCCACCUGCUCCCCAAGGGGAUGCGCGCAGGCAGCCACACGCUCGACAGGCCGCUGUAGGCCUAGUCGGGGUUCGUCUUCUGGUACAUGGACCACUUGGGCAGCCCGCGGCCGCCGAAGCUGCUCUUGCCGCUCUUCGCCGAGGCCGGCAUGCGGGCGUUCCUGCUGAAGGAGGAGGGGCGGCACCACCUCCACUGGCAGUUCAGGCAGGGGAGCCGCCGCCGGCGCGGCGUCACGUGCUUCGCCGUGGCGCAGGGGCGCCACCACAAGAGGCACCGGCCCAUGUGCCUGUUGAAGAAGGUGCUGUUGUGCCUGCGCGACUAGGGCGACAAGGACUGCCGCAGCGUGGAGUACCCGCUCCACGUCGACGAGUAGUGGUUGAUGUUCGGUACCACCCACGUCUUCAUGUGCGGCCACGACGCGUUCGAGAGGUUGAUGCUGGGGUAGUUGAAGCUGCGCCUGCGGCCGCACGUGACGAAGCGCCGCCCCAAGGACCCGGACAUGGCGCUGGCCCUGGAGUAGUAGAGCGGCGUGGGCUGGGCGUUGGGCGCGUUGAUGUGGUACCACCUGAUGUUGGCGAAGUAGGCGAGGCGGAUGCGCGAGGCGGCGCUGGCGGGGAGCCGCGAGCCCCUCCACGGGCCCUACGCCGGCGUCUACGACUAGUAGAGGGCGCCCCCGUGCGCCUUCGACGACUUGGACCUCCUCCACCGGCGGCGGCGCUGCCUCGACCCCAAGUUGCACUGCCACCGCCUCCGCCCCCGCCUGCACGGCCGCAAGCGCCGCGACCACUUGAGGCGCCUGCACGACGACCGCCACGUGCCCCGGCCCGACUGCUUGGUCUAGAAGGACGGCUGCGUCCGCCACCACCACGUCUAGCACGGCACCCCCUUGUACCUGACCUACCGCUGGUUGAAGAUGCCCGUCGGCCGCGCCCUCUACGUCGAGGCCAUGCACCUCAUGAUGCACCUGCUCCUCCUCUGCUCGGAGUUCCUGUUCAUGGGAGCCCUCGUGGACCACAAGUCGCUGGGGUUCCGCGACGUGUUCGUCCCCACCGUCCGCGAGCGGCUCUGGUAGUACUUCGUCCUGCACUUCCACUUGGAGUGGUCCAAGGCCGGGAAGGACGAGGUCCGGUAGCUGUUCGACGUCCUCAUCGGCGCCGCGGCCGCGGCCGCAGAGGCAACAGUAGCGUCCAACCAUUACCUUCCAUAUGGUGAGUGCCAGUGUUAGUGUAUUUGUAUGUGUCCGUUUGUGCCGCCGCUCUUUGUAACAUUAUGACCUUUCCCAGUAACAGACUACUUGUAUCCUCCGAAGCUUAACCAAACAACCAACCAAAACAUAAAUGAGUAAAACCAACCUAUCACGUCAACGUGCGUUCUCCUUACAAGUAAUAAACAAGAAGUAAAGUGGACGUCAAGUUUUAUCCGGUGAGGCCGAGCGACACUAAAGUCAUACUUGGAAAUCAAAGCAGCUAAAUUUUUUUACUAUGUCGGUUGGGUCAUACUUGGAAAUCAA